Esox lucius (northern pike) is the source of this 1186-nucleotide long non-coding RNA. NCBI's taxonomy places the organism in Eukaryota, Metazoa, Chordata, Actinopteri, Esociformes, Esocidae. The record is from Ensembl.
GUGUAUUUUAGUCUAUGAAUGUAGCAUUGGCAGAUCUAAUUCAAAUAAAUAGGCGAGAAUUGUUCCACAGAGUAUUAUAAAGCAGUGCAUUCAACUGACAGUACCACUUUGAAAGGCUAUUUUGCUGAUAUUCACAUUGAUCGAAAUCAAUUAAGUUGUGUGAAUGUCUGCUAAUGAGUUAAUUGCCUUGAAAAGUGCUGCUCUAUAACACACCUUGGAUUGAAUCCUGGUCAGAGCAUCUUUUAAUUGUUUGAUGUUUUUCAGAUGUAAAACUGUGAAUGAUAUGUUUGGAAAAUACAACAUGAAAAAGCACAAUAUUGUGAUUGGUGAGAUGCUGCAUAAUUCUCAGUCUUUCAAACUUAUUGUCUUAUAAAUUCUUUGUUAUGAAGCACAUUCAUUAAAAAGGCUGAUGUAAUUUUGAAAAGCAAAUGGGUAAAAAGCACAAUGUGUAGAGCAAAUUUGAAGAUAAGCACAAUGCAUAAUCCAUAAGUGAACUUUAAAAUAACCCUAUGCUAACCAGUGAACGUCUGAAUGUCUUUCACCUUAGUCUCUAACUUUAGUAACCCCAAUAGAUGCCACAUAACCUGCCUGAACAAAAUGUAAUUACUACAAAAUAAGAGUCAUAACAAAAUAAAAGUAACAGGUUAAUAAUUGUCAUAGGCCUUCAAUGUCAAUCUAGCCAAAGUGAUACAAAUCCACUGGAGGAGUAAGUCGUUACAGUUUACAGUAAUCUAAAUGAAAUGGGUAUUUUUGGGAAAGGGUAUUCUGAAAAUGUUAUUUCAUAGUUAUUUUUUUGUUGGAGUAAUUUGGGAUGUUGUAAUGUCUAGACUACCUGGAUGGAAUAAAAGUCUCAAAGGAGUGUCUUAUUGUGUGUUUUUACUAACAUCUGGAGCCUUCUAAGAAUAUUCCAUUUUCACUUCUCUAUGUAACAAUGUGACAAUUAUAAAUACAAAAUGUUCUGCUUAUUCUCAUUCAAACCUAGACAACCAGAUCCACUGAUUUAUUAGCGCCAUCAAUUGGUCAUUUCUGGAAACAGGAGGCUUUUCCACCACAUUGCACUCGACUACAACCGGGUAGGACAAUGUAUAAACCACUGAAAAAGCUAAUCACAUGGGCUUGGUUAAACAGAAUGGUCCUUUGUGUGAAAAUAAGCACAUGGGUGAUUUCAAAGCAGUUUAUUCCAAGC